This is a long non-coding RNA of Vigna unguiculata (cowpea), 482 nucleotides long. NCBI's taxonomy places the organism in Eukaryota, Viridiplantae, Streptophyta, Magnoliopsida, Fabales, Fabaceae. The record is from RefSeq and is a predicted model, not a curated record.
AGAAUCAGCUCCUUCCUCUCCUUCUCAAAUCUCCAGCAAAGUGCUCUGCUAGGGCACAAUAUUCGUUCAUCUCCGAGCUAGCAAAAUCUUUCUCACCUUCAACUCACUGCUCUAGCCCUUGGAGCUGACGUACUUCUUAGUUGGGAGUCUGUUGCGUUUUUUUAGCAUCUAAGCAAGAUAAGGGAAGCUAGUAUUCUUCAUCUUUCGUUAUGGAAAUACUUCUGGAGGUAGGCCUGAUGGUGGUAGUGGUGCAGCUUAGUGGGCUCGUUGAUAUGGCCCUCAAAGGACGAUUCUAUGGCCCUAGUGCCUUUAUAAUCCCUUGCUCUAGGAGCUUUUCUUUUGCAUAAUUGUGAACCUUGUUAUUUCUGUUUUGGCUAUGGCAUGGUUAUAGAACCCCUUUCAAGUACUCCUAUGGAUGACUGUAAAGGCAUAUUCCUUGUUUUUGGUGUUCAUCUGUUAACCUUGCUCUUUAUUAUUAUAAA